CAUUGAUGAUGUAAAAAUGGUUUUAGAACCAUUAGAUCAAUUCUUGAUGGGAGGUAUACAUAAUCAGUGGUAUUGAUGCAAAGUCAAAACGAGCUUAGCAUAAGUGCGCUACGCUCGAUCGGGUAAGCAUAACUAUUGGGUAUGAAGUCAUAUGGACCUAAGGUUUGGUGUGAGUGUUUUACACAUAAGGAUAAUAGGCCUAGCAGAUGAUUAAGUCGAAAUUAUUGAAGUGAUAAGGUUUUCAUAAGUCAAAAGGUGAAAUGAUGAGAUAAAAGGUGUCAAAUUUUGAUACAAUAAGGCUAAAUCAUUGAAAAUAAGGAAUUUUCAUCAACCUUAUCACUUUGCACGACCAUUACUCUGAAAAACAGAGAGAAAAGAAAACCAAAAACCAUUUCUUGGCUGGUUUGAAGAAAUUCUAAGGAGAUCCAAGUGAAAGCAAAGCCAAAGAAGUAGAUUAAGCUUAGUUCUAGCCUUUUUAUGGUAAGUUCUUGUACUUGGAAGUUAAACCAUGUUUUUGAAUUUUUCUGAAAGCUUAUAUAUGGUGUUUUAUCUUUUUUAAGAUAUUUCUUGGGGUUUCCAAGUGGUUUGAGGUUUAGAAAAGUUUGAAGAGAUUGUUUUUGCCGAAAAGUUGCUCGGAUAAGCACAUCAAUACCUAAGACACCACUUGCUACAUGGUGAAUUAUAUUUUGGACAGAAGGUAGAGAAAGAAAUGUGUGAAUGACAUGAGGAGAACUGAGGCCUGGUCCUGACCCUGAUUUGUACAUAUGAACACAUUGAUUUUUUGUGGGUUAUUUCAGUUAUCAGUGAGAUGUUUGUAAUAAAGUGUGAAGUUAUGUUUUGAAAAUAAAUUGGGUUAUUUAAUACUUA
Molecule: long non-coding RNA, 867 nt
Organism: Humulus lupulus (European hop)
Lineage: Eukaryota; Viridiplantae; Streptophyta; Magnoliopsida; Rosales; Cannabaceae
Exons: 3
Source: RefSeq, a predicted model, not a curated record